UCUCCAGCUGUUUUUGGACUGCAAUCCCCAUCAUCCCUGGUCCUGCUAGCUAGGGAGGAUGGGAGUUGUAGUCCAAAAACAGCUGGGGA
Non-coding RNA from Podarcis lilfordi (Lilford's wall lizard), 89 nucleotides. Lineage: Eukaryota; Metazoa; Chordata; Lepidosauria; Squamata; Lacertidae. The record is from the annotation of a GenBank genome assembly.